AGUGAACGCUGGCGGUAGGCCUAACACAUGCAAGUCGAACGGCAGCACAGUAAGAGCUUGCUCUUACGGGUGGCGAGUGGCGGACGGGUGAGGAAUACAUCGGAAUCUACUUUUUCGUGGGGGAUAACGUAGGGAAACUUACGCUAAUACCGCAUACGACCUACGGGUGAAAGCAGUGGAUCUUCGGACCUUGCGCGAUUGAAUGAGCCGAUGUCGGAUUAGCUAGUUUGCGGGGUAAAGGCCCACCAAGGCGACGAUCCGUAGCUGGUCUGAGAGGAUGAUCAGCCACACUGGAACUGAGACACGGUCCAGACUCCUACGGGAGGCAGCAGUAGGGAAUAUUCGACAAUGGGCGAAAGCCUGAUCCAGCCAUACCGCGUGGGUGAAGAAGGCCUUCGGAUUGUAAAGCCCUUUUGUUGGGAAAGAAAAGCAGCAGGUUAAUACCCCGCUGUUCUGACGGUACCCAAAGAGUAAGCACCGGCUAACUACGUG
This 492-nucleotide ribosomal RNA is filed under the name uncultured bacterium. RNAcentral's name for it is "partial 16S ribosomal RNA". It matches the Rfam family "Bacterial small subunit ribosomal RNA", at positions 29 to 507 of the family's 1533-position model. The record is from RNAcentral.